ACGAACGCUGGCGGCAGGCUUAACACAUGCAAGUCGAACGCACCUUUCGGGGUGAGUGGCCGACGGGUGAGUAACGCGUGGGAAUCUACCCUUCUCUACGGGAUAGCUCCGGGAAACUGGAAUUAAUACCGUAUACGUCCUGAGGGAGAAAGAUUUAUCGGGGAAGGAUGAGCCCGCGUUGGAUUAGCUAGUUGGUGGGGUAAAGGCCUACCAAGGCGACGAUCCAUAGCUGGUCUAAGAGGAUGAUCAGCCACAUUGGGACUGAGACACGGCCCAAACUCCUACGGGAGGCAGCAGUGGGGAAUAUUGGACAAUGGGCGCAAGCCUGAUCCAGCCAUGCCGCGUGAGUGAUGAAGGCCCUAGGGUUGUAAAGCUCUUUCAGUGGGGACGAUAAUGACGGUACCCACAGAAGAAGCCCCGGCUAACUUCGUG
RNAcentral lists this ribosomal RNA (432 nucleotides) under uncultured bacterium. RNAcentral's name for it is "partial 16S ribosomal RNA". It matches the Rfam family "Bacterial small subunit ribosomal RNA", at positions 29 to 507 of the family's 1533-position model. The record is from RNAcentral.